CCCCUAAGCAGUUUCCUGUGCUCUGGUGAUGGGCAGAACGGCACAGACAAUGAGGGAACAUGACUGGAAUACGGAGGCAGCCGUCCUUGCUGCUCGGCGUCCGUAUGGAGAGAGGUGCUCGGCGAUCUUCCCAACAACGAAAGAACACUGUGUGCUCCCGUUCUGUUUCAGAGCUUGAGCUGUGGCCCCGUAAGAACACCAGAACACUGCAUGAGGACAGUCUUUCGACCCUGUGCUACACCUUCUGCAUCUGA
RNAcentral lists this long non-coding RNA (254 nucleotides) under Struthio camelus australis. RNAcentral's name for it is "lncRNA (ENSSCUG00000003524.1)". Lineage: Eukaryota; Metazoa; Chordata; Aves; Struthioniformes; Struthionidae. The record is from RNAcentral.